GCGCAGCAGGCGCGAAAACUUUACAAUGUGCGAAAGCACGAUAAGGGAACUCUGAGUGCCUCCUAAGGAGACUGUUCUGAUGUCUAAAAAGCAACAGAAGUAAGGGCUGGGUAAGACCGGUGCCAGCCGCCGCGGUAACACCGGCAGCCCAAGUGGUAGCUGCGUUUAUUGGGUCUAAAGCGUUCGUAGCCGGCCAGGUAAGUUCCUUGGUAAAUUUAGCCGCUUAACGGUUAAGCUUUCAGGGAAUACUGCUUGGCUUGGGACUGGGAGAGGUCAGAGGUACUCCGGGGGUAGGGGUGAAAUCUAUUAAUCCCUGGGGGACCACCGGUAGCGAAGGCGUCUGACCAGACCAGGUCCGACGGUGAGGGACGAAGGCUAGGGGCGCGAACCGGAUUAGAUACCC
Molecule: ribosomal RNA, 403 nt
Filed under: uncultured microorganism
Description: bacterial SSU rRNA
Rfam family: Archaeal small subunit ribosomal RNA
Source: RNAcentral